UAAGAAACAGAUUUAUUUCAGAUUUUAGUGGGUCAAAAUUGUACAUACACACUGUUAGUAUUUGGUGGCAUUGCCUUUUAACUGCUUUAAGUUGAACCGACUCUUCCACAAGCUUCUCACAACACUUGUGCUGGAAUUUUUUUUUAUCCAUUCCUACUGACAGAACUGGGGCAAAUCGUCAGGUUUGUGGGCUUCCUUGCUCAGACAUGCUUCUUAAGUUCAGUCCACACAUUUUCUCUGAGAUUCUGUUGAUUUGGAGGUAUGCUUAGGAUCAUUGUCCUGCUAAAAGACCAAGUUGCAACCAAGGUUAAACUUUCUGUCUGAUGUCUCCGAAGUUCUGCUUCAGUCUUUCGAGAUGAUCCUCCUUCCUCAUGAGUAAUCGAUUUUCUGAAGUGAAUCAGUCCCUUUUCCAGAAACACACCCCCAUAACGUGAUGCUACCACAACCAUGCUUCACAGCUGGCAUGGUGUUCUUCGGAAAAGCCUCAACCAUUUCCCUCCAUAUAUACAUAGCGCUGAUCAUUAUGGGCAAACAGUUCUUUUUUUGUUUCAGCUGACCAGAGAGCACUCCUUCCUCCAAAAGACUAGGUCUUUGUGUUGGUCCUGUUGUUCACCUGCGAGCUUCAAUCUGGCUGUUUUUUUGUUUUGUUUUUAUGCCAGUCAGGUGAUAACAAUGUAGACAUUGGCGCUCUUAAUGGUAGAUGUACACAGGUGCACUCCCAAUUAACUCCUAAUUAUGACAAUUGGCCAAUCCAAAGCUUCUAAAAGUCAUUAAAUAUUAAUUUCUGGAAACUAAAUAUCGUUUAAAGAGACAUGUAGGCUAUCAGUGACAAUCAUGUCAGGUGAUCAUACAGAGGGAAACACCCCCUAGAUUUUAUCUCCACUUGGGCUGAUAUUUAAUAGCCUGCUUCACCAACACAUCCAUACAACGUCAUCAGCAGUGAUUGAGAAGGCGCAUUUGAAAUACAGCUGCUGGGUGGAACGACCACAAAUGAGAUUGGUCAGUGGUCACGUGUUGAAGCUGCGCAGAAAUCCAGAAGCCACGUACUGACCUACAGCCAAGUCUUCUGCUGCAUUAUGCUACUUUCAAAAGCACCCUGAUGUUCCUCAGAUUCUUACAAGGGUUGAUCUGGUUUGUCAUCUCAGUGUUUUUUUUAUUUAUUUAUUUUUUUUUUUAAAGGAAUGGGAGCUUUGGUGACUUGAUAUCCACAAAAAGUGUUUUCAGCCCAGUACAGUGAGGUCCUUUCUCAUUCCUGGGUUAUGCUCCGGAGUACAUAUUUUACCGUAUAAGCAAAGGCAGCAAAGCCCACUAUUACGAACAGGUUUGCAAGUGCUCCGCCAAGGAGUCCAUGAUUGCGGUUAGCCUGCUGGAGGGGAAGGUGCUGAGGAGCCGCUGCUUCUCCCAAAGGGACGUGCCCAUUCAUCUCUGGGAGCCCGAAGUGACCCUGCUCUCCAUCUGGCACCACGUCUGGAAGCGGCAGAACCUGCGGCCGUGAAUUGAGCUCCUCCUGAGCCUUUUGUUUCUGCUUGAUCUCCUGCAAAGGAAUUAAAGCUAAAGUUGACCUGGUAGUACAGCUGCCUAAACACAGGCAUUUUCCCUAAAUGCAGGAGCAAACAGGUGUCCUGAGAACAAUAAUAAAUACAUUCAAAUGUCCCCUUUUCAGUUGAUGAAGGAGAAUAGGUUUGAAUCAAUAACUACAUACAGGAGUAUACAGAGCUUUCAGUUUUAAGACUCACCUCAACAACUUCUGGAAACAGUUCACAAAAGAUUCGGUCUUUUAAGUUAAAAGCCAAGCUCUGUGCAGACAGCUGUCUUUUCUGAUGAUGAUAAAAAAAAAAAAUUAAAAAAAAAAACAGUGGAGAGUAUUUCAGAAUACAUUCCCUUAGCUUGUAUUACAUGAAGUAUUACAUGGAGCAAAAUAUGAAAAUGCUUUCAAUAUACUAUGUUGUUUUUAAAUCAUUUUUGUAUAUAUUCUAUUAAUUCCUUCCUCUCAGAUGGUUUCUAUUGGAACAGUACACGUACAGUGUAAUCGGAUGUCUCGAUGCUUCCCAGUGUUGGGCCUUUCUCCACCAUGAAACUUAGCAGCCCCGUGAGGAUGGUCGAGACGGACCAGGCGGGGUUCCACGUGUCCGGAUGGAAGUCGG
Molecule: long non-coding RNA, 2144 nt
Organism: Ictalurus punctatus (channel catfish)
Lineage: Eukaryota; Metazoa; Chordata; Actinopteri; Siluriformes; Ictaluridae
Source: Ensembl